GUUUCUUUAGUGCAAAAAUUAGAUUUUAGCUAAUUAAUUAAAAAUAUUUAUUAAAUAAUGAUAAUAAAGCCACUAUUAUACUAUUCAUGAUCACAUAUUCACAAUUAUAGGUCACAGAUUUUAUUUAUCAGUCACAUAUCAUCAAAUUAAUUGGUCAUAGAUUUUUUCGAGGUUACAAAUCACAAUUUUGAAAAGUCACAGAUUAUGUCGAGGUUACAGAUCAAAAAAUUAUAGCCACAGGUUACAUAUUUUCAAAUUUAAUAGUCACAUAUUACUUUUUUUAGUCACAGAUGAUCGAAUUUUAAAGUCAUAGGUCAAAUAGUCAGUGACCACCAACUCCACUGCCACCACCGUCACUUGCAACUACCCUCACCCCGUCGUCGCCACCACCACCACCACGGCCAACACCAACAUCAACAAAAUCGAUGCAACCAAAUCCAAUGUCGCCACCAAACACACAAAAAAAAAACCACCACCAAAACAUGACGACCGACUACACCACACCCCACCAACAGCACACCAUCAUCACUAGCAAACAUCACCAACCGCAAAAUCACUACCACACACAAAAACACCAUAACCACAGCUUCAUUGCAACAUCCACACCCAAAAAAAGCGCCACUCAUAUCAGGGCCGAGAUUCUCUUCCAACACCACGGCACCCACAACACACACACCUGGAACUUCACCAACACUACCGCGUCCAAUCACACCACCCAUCUCACAUUAUUGAUCUCCAACACCACCACACAAAUUAGCACACAUACUACAGAUUUCGACAGCUGCAGCAAAUCAGGCACCGACGCUCAGAUCGCUCGUAGCGGCACCGAAGCUGUGAAUAGCUCGUAGCACCAUCGACACUCGCCACAGCGAGGCGAGUGGCACUCAAAUUUCGACAGCUGCAGCAAAUUAGGAUCAGGCAAGCGGCGCUCAGAUUGCUCACAAAUCAGGAGAGAGGCUCUCAGAUUUCACUUACGUCGCAGGCUGCGAAGGUGGUGCACUGUAGCAACUAUGCCGCUGCUCGACUCUUAGGUGUCUCCGACAGUGG
Molecule: long non-coding RNA, 1047 nt
Filed under: Olea europaea subsp. europaea
Lineage: Eukaryota; Viridiplantae; Streptophyta; Magnoliopsida; Lamiales; Oleaceae
Source: RNAcentral